AGAACGAACGCUGGCGGCAGGCCUAAUACAUGCAAGUCGAACGCACUCUUCGGAGUGAGUGGCAGACGGGUGAGUAACGCGUGGGAACCUUCCCAAUGGUACGGAAUAACUCCGGGAAACCGGUGCUAAUACCGUAUAAGCCCCUCGGGGGAAAGAUUUAUCGCCAUUGGAUGGGCCCGCGUCGGAUUAGCUAGUUGGUAAGGUAAUGGCUUACCAAGGCUACGAUCCGUAGCUGGUCUGAGAGGAUGAUCAGCCACACUGGGACUGAGACACGGCCCAGACUCCUACGGGAGGCAGCAGUAGGGAAUCUUGGACAAUGGGCGAAAGCCUGAUCCAGCCAUGCCGCGUGAGUGAAGAAGGCCUUAGGGUUGUAAAGCUCGUUUUGGCGGGGACGAUAAUGACGGUACCCGCAGAAUAACGCCCGGCUAACUUCGUGCCAGCAGCCGC
This 447-nucleotide ribosomal RNA is filed under the name uncultured bacterium. RNAcentral describes it as "SSU rRNA". It matches the Rfam family "Bacterial small subunit ribosomal RNA", at positions 26 to 518 of the family's 1533-position model. The record is from RNAcentral.